RNAcentral lists this ribosomal RNA (293 nucleotides) under uncultured bacterium. RNAcentral describes it as "partial 16S ribosomal RNA". It matches the Rfam family "Archaeal small subunit ribosomal RNA", at positions 455 to 747 of the family's 1478-position model. The record is from RNAcentral.
GUGCCAGCCGCCGCGGUAAUACCGGCAGCACGAGUGAUGGCCGAGAUUAUUGGGCCUAAAGCGUCCGUAGCUGGCCGGACAAGUCCGUUGGGAAAUCCACCCGCUUAACGGGUGGGCGUCCAGCGGAAACGGUCCGGCUUGGGGCCGGAGGACCCGAGGGGUACGUCCGGGGUAGGAGUGAAAUCCUGUAAUCCUGGACGGACCGCCGGUGGCGAAAGCGCCUCGGGAGGACGGACCCGACGGUGAGGGACGAAAGCCAGGGUCUCCAACCGGAUUAGAAACCCUGGUAGUCC